UAGAAUGCAGCAAAGUACAUAAAGUGCUGGACUCCCAGUCCUGAGGCCCCAAGUUCGAUUCCCGGCAUUCUAU
This 73-nucleotide transfer RNA is filed under the name Erinaceus europaeus (western European hedgehog). It matches the Rfam family "tRNA". Rfam says of the family: Transfer RNA (tRNA) molecules are approximately 80 nucleotides in length. Their secondary structure includes four short double-helical elements and three loops (D, anti-codon, and T loops). Lineage: Eukaryota; Metazoa; Chordata; Mammalia; Eulipotyphla; Erinaceidae. The record is from Rfam by way of RNAcentral.